CAUAUUUGGAUCUCUGUGUUUUUUAGUGAAGAGCUUUCAUGUUCUAAAGUAAUUACAACGGGGUGAGUGUGUGUUUUUUACAUAUAGGGAUAAGGCUUUCUUAAUAGACAAAUAAGAAAAGGAUGCACAGCAUAGAGAACUUAGUUCUCUAUCAAUAUCUAUCCCAGGCUAUUUUAGUGAUUGAUCAGAGGCCUGAAUAUUUAAGGCCGGAGAACACACCUCAUUCUGAUGAAAAUGAAACAUGGAUAUUUUUAAUCUGGUUUAUACUGAGCUUAUUUCAAAGAGUUGUUUGGGGUUUGUUUCAGGUUCCCUUGAGAUUAUGUAAGCACUUCAAGUUGCAUCCAGAUGUACUAUACUGUCAUGAAAUCUUCAUAGAGACAAAUAAUGGGUAUUUCUGUUACAUCUUCUGUGCAGGUCACAGGGAGGAAUGAAUGCCUGUUCAACACUGGAAUAGACAACAGAAUGCAAGAGAUUUUUCCAGUUUACAAUUGUCUGUAUUUCUCAGAGGCUUUGAUCUUCACAUAAUGUUUGUUUACUCCUGCAGGCACAUAUAUGUCAUAUCAUAAUGGCUCCUAUCUGUAAAGACAUGUGUCUGUCACUGUCUGAUUUUAUACCUGAUGAGUGACCACAAGAAGUACUGAGAUAGGUGGAUUGGCAGGACACGUGUGAGCAAACAGCUCAAAGAUGAGGUGAGCUUCAUGUGCCCUGCUUUUCAAUUCUGUUUAGGAAACAGCACCCAGGCUGACCACGAUAUGACACGUGGUGAGACACUGUGGCUUGACUCCAAACAUGAUUUUCCUUGGUGUUUGUUACUAAUAUUGAGGGUUUUUUUCACUGCAGCUGCAGGCCCCAACCUCACCUGGACAUCUCCUGGCAGAUGGCCCCACCAGUCACACCACAGGGAAGACAUCUGCAUGCAAGGAUGCCACCUUGCACGUACAGUAAAUGUGCCAGGGGUAAGCAGAGCCCUUACUUUGCAAGGAUCACAGUCAGAGGUUCCUUGCAAGGGCUGAAUUCACCAGCAGUUCCUGAAAAGCAAGACUUGGUUACAGACUGUGCUUUGCCGAGAAUUACGUAUCAUUAUGUUGAUUCAUGUGGCAGCCCAUGAGGUCCUGAGAGUCACCAUUCCUCUCAGUAAGAGCGGGGGGAGGCUCACCUGAGUGCCCAGCUGCUGGUCUGCCGUGUCUUAGCAGGGGUCAUUUCCCUUCCACCAGAGUCCUGAGUCCCUGAAGGAGGUGCCAGACCCACAUGGCUGCCUGCAAGGCUCACAGCAGCAUCUUUUAGAUGAGAGAAAGGGAAAGGACAGCUAACACUCCCCCACAUCAGCACAGCAUGUCCCAGAAACCUCUAAAGGAGUUACUGUUAAUUUUCCCUCCCACAGUCCCCCUGGAUAGUGUGGGCACAAGAGUGUGGAAAAAGCUUUCAAAGCUGUGACUUGAGAUUUCCCCGCAGGGGCUCACAGAGGAAAGUUAGGGACAACGGAGGGAAGUGCACAAGAAGAGACCCUUGCCUGCUCCUUGCAAAUUGCUCUCCUCUGCAGUUAAGUAUCCCUCUCACACUCCCCCAGAACAGGGAGGAUAUGACAUUUUAUUUAGUGUAAAGUCACCUGAAGACUUGCCAGCACCUUGCUCCUGCCCCACAUGGCACAUUGCUGCCUCUAGUUGUAGGGCUGUGCUGGGAAUGCAGAGGUGAGGCAUUUAAAUGCAGAAAAUAAACUUCCCAGGGAGAGGUGAGUGAUGCUUUCCCUAAUGAUUUCAGAGUUGGCCUUGCCGUGCACCCCAGGAAGAGUUGCCACGGGAGCGGUGAAGAGACCACAUAGGGAGUGAGAGGCUGGAAUCGGGACAGUACCUGGGCACGGGGAGCGGGAGGAGGUGGGCCAAAUUCUGGCUCCCUCCAAAUGAUCUGGCUGGUGCUGAGGCAUAUGAACAUGAACACGAGUGGGACACCUCUAUGACAGUGCUGCAAUGUGCAGGAUCCAGUGAGACACGACAACUUGAUGCUUAAAUGGUAAUUGAAAAUGGAUGAAAACAUGAGGAUAAAGGACCCUGAUCAUCAGUCUGACUUCAGGGGAGGAUCCCUUCAGGUAUUGGAAGGCUCCCAUUAGGUCACCCUGAAACCUUCUCUUCUCCCAGCUGCUCCAGCAUUCCUUGUUAGCAAAUGCUCUCAUGCACCCCGACAUGGAGCCAGGAUGCCAGAUCUGAAACAUUUUAAAUGAAGGCAUGGUAUUUGCAACACAUGGCCCUUUUUGGCAUCCUGGAUUACGUCUGUGCAUUUUCUCUGACUCUAAAGUAAAGGGUGAUCUGUGAUGGUGCGUUGUGAUCUGUCCCCCUCUCUGUGCUGUCACCACUCCGUUUGGACAUGAAGCUGAAGGGAUGUAUGUGCCUAUUAACAGGCAGGCAGAAGCCAGGCUGCACUUUGCACAUAUGGGACCCAUUAGCUUUUAAAUCUCCCCCAGAGAUUGUCCAUAUUUAUCAUGUCCACAAAAGAAAACCCGUGUGCUUGGACAUAUUGAGUGAAAUUGAGACUAUCAAAUAUGUUUACACAACGGUGGAAGACAAGCAAUUGAGAAAAAUGUUUAGAUAAACGUUUAUUGCUCUGACAACUAUCACCAAUGUUUUUGUACAGAAACCUAGUUUUUAUCAAUAUGAUUAAUAUUUUCGCUUGACAUUUUAACCAAGGGGUUAAGCAGAGGGCAUUUAUUUUGUAUGGCAUUUAAACAAGAUUCUGAGCAAUGCUGGAGGAUGGAUGACCAGAAGGUAAAGUAGUGUUGCCCAGUAUAACCCUUAAAAUAACUCAAACUCCAGAGUUCGUAGUCUGAGGCACAGUGGCUCACUAACCUCCAGUAAAUAUCUUGUGGGACUGCAACAUGUGUCUUGCAACUACAGAGCAACACCAAGAGAGAUCUGUGUCCUAGUUUCAGCUGGGAUGGAGAUAGUUUUCUUCCUAGUAGCUGACACAAUGCUGGGUUUUGAAUUUAGGAUGAGAAUAAAUUGAUAACACACUGAUCUUUUGGUUGUUGCUAAGUAGCGCUUACCUUACAUCAAGGGCUUUUCAGUCUCCCAUGGUCUGCCAGUGAACAGAUGUACAAAAAGCUGGGAUAAAUGAGCCAAACUGAUCAAAGGGACAUUCUAUAAACUUGAGAAUUUGGCCAUGAGCUUCUGAUGGCCACAUGUGGAUGGCUGGGCAUCAGUCAG
Neopelma chrysocephalum (saffron-crested tyrant-manakin) is the source of this 3194-nucleotide long non-coding RNA. RefSeq lists it as uncharacterized. The transcript is spliced from 4 exons. Lineage: Eukaryota; Metazoa; Chordata; Aves; Passeriformes; Pipridae. The record is from RefSeq and is a predicted model, not a curated record.